GUGACUCAUCGAGAUGAUCUGAGGAGGAGCCACCUCACAAGUGGAAGAGCUUCUUCACCCUAUUUUGGCCCGAGCUCCUGAGCCAGGAUCUCUGCACAACGUGUUGCUCAUCAGACACAGCAGCUGUCCUCAGUAACCAUGCUGCUGUCAGCCAGCCAGUAACCUCUGCUCUAGCCAUCAAACAUCACCACUAAAAGUUCAAGAUAGAAUGGAAGAAACUGAGACACGGAGCCAGGACUAAACCUGCGAGUCAGGCAGUGCAGAAGAGCUGGAAUUAGACCCAGAUACCAGUCCUUGGACCACCCAGUGGAAAAAGAGAGUCAAUUAGCUGCUAGCAGUCUCCCAACCUCUCCUGGUGCUACCAGAUCCUGCUGGUGCCAACAGGAGUGGA
Empidonax traillii (willow flycatcher) is the source of this 391-nucleotide long non-coding RNA. RefSeq lists it as uncharacterized. The transcript is spliced from 3 exons. NCBI's taxonomy places the organism in Eukaryota, Metazoa, Chordata, Aves, Passeriformes, Tyrannidae. The record is from RefSeq and is a predicted model, not a curated record.